GUCCACGCCCUAAACUAUGUCAACUGGUUGUCGGGUGAUUGAUUCCCUUGGUAACGUAGCUAACGCGUGAAGUUGACCGCCUGGGGAGUACGGUCGCAAGAUUAAAACUCAAAGGAAUUUACGGGGACCCGCACAAGCGGUGGAUUAUGUGGAUUAAUUCGAUGCAACGCGAAAAACCUUACCUACCCUUGACUUGUACGGAAUCUUUCAGAGAUGGAAGAGUGCCCGAAAGGGAACCGUAACACAGGUGCUGCAUGGCUGUCGU
RNAcentral lists this ribosomal RNA (265 nucleotides) under uncultured bacterium. RNAcentral describes it as "partial 16S ribosomal RNA". It matches the Rfam family "Bacterial small subunit ribosomal RNA", at positions 793 to 1055 of the family's 1533-position model. The record is from RNAcentral.